AAGUAAGCUAAAAAGGCAAUAGCACAGAACAGAAGGAAUACAGAUACAGGAUUUAAGGUGGAGUCCUUCUUCACUGUUGGGCAAGCAUGAAUCGUUUUCCAUUCAAAGAAGAAAGCGCAAUCGUUCAGAUUGCCAACGUAGGUUAUGACAGACGGUGCGGUGUAAGGGUCCCGAUUGCAAGUAAAACUAAUUAAGGUGCUCA
Non-coding RNA from Schizosaccharomyces pombe (fission yeast), 202 nucleotides. The record is from the annotation of a GenBank genome assembly. Lineage: Eukaryota; Fungi; Ascomycota; Schizosaccharomycetes; Schizosaccharomycetales; Schizosaccharomycetaceae.